This 319-nucleotide unclassified non-coding RNA is filed under the name uncultured Thelephorales. Its description in RNAcentral is "sequence contains 5.8S rRNA gene". The stretch from base 1 to 53 matches the Rfam family "5.8S ribosomal RNA", at positions 102 to 154 of the family's 154-position model. The record is from RNAcentral. Lineage: Eukaryota; Fungi; Basidiomycota; Agaricomycetes; Thelephorales.
GAACGCAUCUUGCGCUCCUUGGUAUUCCGAGGAGCAUGCCUGUUUGAGUAUCAUGAACACCUCAACUCUUCAUGGUUUUCCAUGAUGAGCUUGGACUUUGGGGGUCUUGCUGGCCUGUGGGUCGGCUCCUCUCAAAUGAAUCAGCUUGCCGGUUUUUGGUGGGCAUCACAGGUGUGAUAACUAUCUACGCUUGUGGUUUUCCACCAGGGUAACCUUCAGCAGUGGAGGUUCACUGGAGCUUACAAAUGUCUCUCCUCUGUGAGGACAGCCCUUUGAAUGUUUGAUCUCAAAUCAGGUAGGACUACCCGCUGAACUUAAG